AGCCGGGUAGGGUAGGGGACAAUCCUUUGGGCCUUUGGAGCCCGAGACUGCGGUUCGAAUCCGCGCCCGGCUA
This 73-nucleotide transfer RNA is filed under the name archaeon. RNAcentral's name for it is "tRNA-Gln". It matches the Rfam family "tRNA". Rfam says of the family: Transfer RNA (tRNA) molecules are approximately 80 nucleotides in length. Their secondary structure includes four short double-helical elements and three loops (D, anti-codon, and T loops). Further hydrogen bonds mediate the characteristic L-shaped molecular structure. tRNAs have two regions of fundamental functional importance: the anti-codon, which is responsible for specific mRNA codon recognition, and the 3' end, to which the tRNAs corresponding amino acid is attached (by aminoacyl-tRNA synthetases). tRNAs cope with the degeneracy of the genetic code in two manners: having more than one tRNA (with a specific anti-codon) for a particular amino acid; and 'wobble' base-pairing, i.e. permitting non-standard base-pairing at the 3rd anti-codon position. RNAcentral also lists the same sequence under 2 other names. The record is from RNAcentral.